This 308-nucleotide ribosomal RNA is filed under the name uncultured bacterium. RNAcentral describes it as "bacterial SSU rRNA". It matches the Rfam family "Bacterial small subunit ribosomal RNA", at positions 30 to 339 of the family's 1533-position model. The record is from RNAcentral.
AUUGAACGCUGGCGGAAUGCUUUACACAUGCAAGUCGAACGGUAGAGGGGGGCAACCCCCUUGAGAGUGGCGAACGGGUGAGUAAUAUAUCGGAACGUGCCCAGUCGUGGGGAUAACGUAGCGAAAGUUACGCUAAUACCGCAUACGAUCUAAGGAUGAAAGCGGGGGACUCGCAAGAGCCUCGCGCGAUUGGAGCGGCCGAUAUCAGAUUAGGUAGUUGGUGGGGUAAAGGCGUCACCAAGCCAACGAUCUGUAGCUGGUCUGAGAGGACGACCAGCCACACUGAACUGAGACACGGUCCAGACUCC